This 355-nucleotide unclassified non-coding RNA is filed under the name soil metagenome. RNAcentral's name for it is "partial contains 5.8S ribosomal RNA, internal transcribed spacer 2, and large subunit ribosomal RNA". The stretch from base 1 to 120 matches the Rfam family "5.8S ribosomal RNA", at positions 35 to 154 of the family's 154-position model. The record is from RNAcentral.
GAUGAAGAACGUAGCGAAAUGCGAUAAGUAAUGUGAAUUGCAGAAUUCAGUGAAUCAUCGAAUCUUUGAACGCACAUUGCGCCCAUUAGUAUUCUAGUGGGCAUGCCUGCUCGAGCGUCAUUAAGUCCACUUAAGCCCUGCUUAGUGUUGGGAGACUGCUCCAGCGGUGCUACCCUGUAGCUACCCUGCAGCUCCUCAAAGACAGCGGCGGAGUUGUGGUAUCCUCUGAGCUUAGUAACUUGUUCUAGCUUUCGAGUACACCACUUCCCCUGCCGUAAAACCCUUAAUUUUUAAUGGUUGACCUCGGAUCAGGUAGGAAUACCCGCUGAACUUAAGCAUAUCAAUAAGCGGAGGA